RNAcentral lists this ribosomal RNA (750 nucleotides) under uncultured Rhizobium sp. RNAcentral describes it as "bacterial SSU rRNA". It matches the Rfam family "Bacterial small subunit ribosomal RNA", at positions 8 to 752 of the family's 1533-position model. Lineage: Bacteria; Pseudomonadati; Pseudomonadota; Alphaproteobacteria; Hyphomicrobiales; Rhizobiaceae. The record is from RNAcentral.
AGAGUUUGANCCUNUANUCAGAUUGAACGCUGGCGGCAUGCCUUACACAUGCNAGUCGAACGGCAGCACGGGAGCAAUCCUGGUGGCGAGUGGCGAACGGGUGAGUAAUACAUCGGAACGUGCCCUGUCGUGGGGGAUAACUAGUCGAAAGAUUAGCUAAUACCGCAUACGACCUGAGGGUGAAAGCGGGGGACCGCAAGGCCUCGCGCGAUAGGAGCGGCCGAUGUCUGAUUAGCUAGUUGGUGGGGUAAAGGCCCACCAAGGCGACGAUCAGUAGCUGGUCUGAGAGGACGAUCAGCCACACUGGGACUGAGACACGGCCCAGACUCCUACGGGAGGCAGCAGUGGGGAAUUUUGGACAAUGGGGGCAACCCUGAUCCAGCAAUGCCGCGUGUGUGAAGAAGGCCUUCGGGUUGUAAAGCACUUUUGUCCGGAAAGAAAUCCCUUGCCCUAAUACGGCGGGGGGAUGACGGUACCGGAAGAAUAAGCACCGGCUAACUACGUGCCAGCAGCCGCGGUAAUACGUAGGGUGCGAGCGUUAAUCGGAAUUACUGGGCGUAAAGCGUGCGCAGGCGGUUUUGUAAGACAGGCGUGAAAUCCCCGAGCUCAACUUGGGAAUGGCGCUUGUGACUGCAAGGCUAGAGUAUGUCAGAGGGGGGUAGAAUUCCACGUGUAGCAGUGAAAUGCGUAGAGAUGUGGAGGAAUACCGAUGGCGAAGGCAGCCCCCUGGGACGUCACUGACGCUCAUGC